GCUUGUCUCAAAGAUUAAGCCAUGCAUGUCUCAGUACAAGCCAAAUUAAGGUGAAACCGCGAAAGGCUCAUUAAAUCAGUUAUGGUUCCUUAGAUCGUACCCACAAUUACUUGGAUAACUGUGGUAAUUCUAGAGCUAAUACAUGCAAACAGAGUUCCGACCGGAGACGGAAGGAGUGCUUUUAUUAGAUCAAAACCGAUCGGUGGCGGGCUCGUCAUCGUACAACUUGGUGACUCUGAAUAACUUUACGCUGAUCGCACGGUCAUCGCACCGGCGACGCAUCUUUCAAAUGUCUGCCUUAUCAACUGUCGAUGGUAGGUUCUGCGCCUACCAUGGUUGUAACGGGUAACGGGGAAUCAGGGUUCGAUUCCGGAGAGGGAGCCUGAGAAACGGCUACCACAUCCAAGGAAGGCAGCAGGCGCGCAAAUUACCCACUCCCGGCACGGGGAGGUAGUGACGAAAAAUAACGAUACGGGACUCAUCCGAGGCCCCGUAAUCGGAAUGAGUACACUCUAAACCCUUUAACGAGGAUCAAUUGGAGGGCAAGUCUGGUGCCAGCAGCCGCGG
Molecule: ribosomal RNA, 567 nt
Filed under: Semiathe sp. ARC0707
Lineage: Eukaryota; Metazoa; Arthropoda; Insecta; Coleoptera; Curculionidae
Description: SSU rRNA
Rfam family: Eukaryotic small subunit ribosomal RNA
Source: RNAcentral